GCACUGCUGAGGAGUCUUACAACAGGACGAAACGGCCGCCCAGUGC
RNAcentral lists this non-coding RNA (46 nucleotides) under Schistosoma haematobium. Lineage: Eukaryota; Metazoa; Platyhelminthes; Trematoda; Strigeidida; Schistosomatidae. RNAcentral also lists the same sequence under 1 other name. The record is from RNAcentral.